RNAcentral lists this ribosomal RNA (500 nucleotides) under uncultured bacterium. Its description in RNAcentral is "partial 16S ribosomal RNA". It matches the Rfam family "Bacterial small subunit ribosomal RNA", at positions 28 to 523 of the family's 1533-position model. The record is from RNAcentral.
GACGAACGCUGGCGGCGUGCCUAAUACAUGCAAGUCGAGCGAGACUCUUCGGAGUCUAGCGGCGGACGGGUGAGUAACACGUGGGCAACCUGCCUGUAAGACUGGGAUAACACCGGGAAACCGGUGCUAAUACCGGAUAAUCCUUUUUCUCUCAUGAGGAAAAGCUGAAAGUCGGUUUCGGCUGACACUUACAGAUGGGCCCGCGGCGCAUUAGCUAGUUGGUGAGGUAACGGCUCACCAAGGCGACGAUGCGUAGCCGACCUGAGAGGGUGAUCGGCCACACUGGGACUGAGACACGGCCCGGACUCCUACGGGAGGCAGCAGUAGGGAAUCUUCCACAAUGGACGAAAGUCCGAUGGAGCAACGCCGCGUGAGCGAUGAAGGCCUUCGGGUCGUAAAGCUCUGUUGUUAGGGAAGAACAAGUACCGGAGUAACUGCCGGUACCUUGACGGUACCUAACCAGAAAGCCACGGCUAACUACGUGCCAGCCGCCGCCGUAA